AACGAACGCUGGCGGCAUGCCUAACACAUGCAAGUCGAACGAGACCUUCGGGUCUAGUGGCGCACGGGUGCGUAACGCGUGGGAACCUGCCCUUAGGUUCGGAAUAACUCCCCGACAGGGGUGCUAAUACCGGAUAAUGUCUUCGGACCAAAGAUUUAUCGCCGUUGGAUGGGCCCGCGUUGGAUUAGCUAGUUGGUAGGGUAAAAGCCUACCAAGGCGACGAUCCAUAGCUGGUCUGAGAGGAUGAUCAGCCACACUGGGACUGAGACACGGCCCAGACUCCUACGGGAGGCAGCAGUGGGGAAUAUUGGACAAUGGGCGAAAGCCUGAUACAGCAAUGCCGCGUGAGUGAUGAAGGCCUUAGGGUUGUAAAGCUCUUUUACCCGGGAUGAUAAUGACAGUACCGGGAGAAUAAGCUCCGGCUAACUCCGUG
This 433-nucleotide ribosomal RNA is filed under the name uncultured bacterium. RNAcentral describes it as "partial 16S ribosomal RNA". It matches the Rfam family "Bacterial small subunit ribosomal RNA", at positions 29 to 507 of the family's 1533-position model. The record is from RNAcentral.